Long non-coding RNA from Triticum dicoccoides, 5357 nucleotides. RefSeq lists it as uncharacterized. The record is from RefSeq and is a predicted model, not a curated record. The transcript is spliced from 4 exons. Lineage: Eukaryota; Viridiplantae; Streptophyta; Magnoliopsida; Poales; Poaceae.
UCGCCGCCGCCGGGAAUCCCCAGGGAUGUCGCUGCCACCGCUGCGGAUCCCCAAGGGCGUGGUCGCGUUGCCCUGAUUGGAGGAGACCCUGCCGGCCUUGCCUUGUUUGGAGGACUGUGUGCGUCAAUCCGGACCUCCGCUUCCCCCCUUUUCCAUCAAGGACCGCCGCUGCUGCUUCGUCUUCUAUCUCUCCGGAUCCCCAUCGGCACCUGCUGGAUGGUGCUCCGGGAACAGGGCCGCACGGAGGCCCUCCUCCCGUAGGUUGUGCAGACGCGGCGCGCCUUGCAGCGGCUAUUCGGGAUGAGCGCGGGCGCGACAACCUUGUCCCAGUCGAUGAUGGCGGCGGCGAACGCCGGUGCUCCUUCUCGUCCUCUACCUCCAAGGACGCGCACCGGUACAGCUCAGACACCCCCGUCCCCAAAUCCCGUCCACCCAUCCGGCGUUGUCCAGCUCAUCCUCACGCUCGUGGAUUCGCCUCCUCCUGUACGCGACACUUGAAACGUGGACGUGGUGAGCUUCCCCUCUCUCUACCCCCAAAUCUGGAUGGCACUAGCAUCGUUACAUACAUACAUAUGGAUAAACAUCUUGGUUUAGUUCUUUGGUUCAGUUUGUAUUCAGUCUGUAUGCGUCUAGAUGUGAAUGGCACUUGCAGUAUAUGGCUGCUCCUUGGUUGUCCAUUUGUAUGCGUCCACAGGUAUGUAAACGGCCGCUCCUUGAUUGUUAUUUUGAACAAAACUCCCCCUUAAUUCUUCCUGUACUGAAAUGAAUCCUUGGAAGCUAGCACUACAUGUCUGUUGUUGCUGUCGUCUUGUACUACAUGGCUUUUUCCAAUUUAAUUUCAGUCAAGUUUAUGUGAAUAUAAUCUCCUUUGAUCUGAUGUUUUGGUCUGACUAUUUACAUUUUAAUUAUCAUGUACGUACUAAUGCAUUCUCAGAUAUUUGGUCGGUGUUAUCUUCUAAAAUAAUAGUAAAUGCAAUCGUUAAAUAGCAGUAGAAGAAGCAUGUCUGCAAACAGAAUUGUACAUUUUCAUUCCUUUGUAGAAGUGUAAUAGAUUAUUUCUUGAAAACACAAAGAUUUCAAGUAUAGCGUCAGAACAAAGAUACAAACUAUAAUUUCAACAUCCGGUAAAUGAUAUAUACAGCGAGUUGGGCGUGUCGAAUGUUGAUGCACAAACAGAAUACAUUGGAUUAAUUAUGUACUUUUUAGAACAGUUCGGAAUACAUAUUGGAAGAACAAAUUACGUUAUGUUCCCGACCCAUCUCUUUCUGCUAUCUUGCUGCUGCAGGACCUGGGAGUUUUAGUGGCUAAUAUAAUUUUGACAAUUUUGCUGCAAUAUCUUCAGUUUCUCUAUUGAUUCGGAUAAUUUUGCUGCUCCAAUAGUCUGAAGCAGAAUCUCCGUCUUCUAUCUCAACGUCGGCGGCCCGACGGCGCCGACUCCUUAUCGACGCCCGUCGGCGGCCCGGUGACGCGACCAGAUCACUGCAAAUUGUCCCUUCAGUCUUGAUCAAUAACCAGAUAUUGGCAAGCUUGAGUUAUCCAUGGAUGCAUGGAAAAGAUUAUUCAUUGUUGUGAUAUGCAUAUCUGUAGGAUUAAAUUAAUCUGAAUUAUGUGCUAUGUCACACUUUGCAGAGUACAGAGACUUCAGUUCACAUAAUAUGUUUGUACAUAUGUUGAUGUCAGGUGGAGGUGGUCGUGCUGGCGCCACUGUUUUGCUUCGUGCUGAUGCGGUAUAAAAGUGCCUCCUCGGCAGAUGAGGACCUGAGCGUGGCCGUGCUAAUGAGGAUGCAGGAUCCACCGCCACCGGCCAGUCCGAGUGCGUUGUUGUUUUCAUUCUUUGGGUCCUAGGGAUUUCGAAAUCAGGUGUUCGCCCCUGAUGAUUUCCGUGAGAUAAACUGAUUUCAUUGGCAUCAUCUAUUUCAUUGCCUCACCAAUAUCCAUGUGAGCCUGAGUUGUAAGUGAAUGUACACAUUGCGUGGCUGUGUUCCUGCUGGUGAUUGCAGAGAACUUGGCAGGCAGAUCAAUUACGAGGAGGUCAAGGCUGAGCUGGAGUGGGGUGGGCGCCAACAUGAAGGAGCUGGAGAUAUCUCUAUUUUUCAAAAUGACCUGCUUGGACCGAACGAGGACAGGUGUGUGGUGGUGGUCAUAAGAUGCACGACGAACAUUGAGCUACAGAAGAACAUUAUGAAAGAGGUUGGAGAGGCUGGAGGAGACCAUAUACCAACACAAAACGCAUCUUGAUGGCCAUCAAUGAGGAGCUGGACCUGCUACACCAGGCUAAUUGCAAGCAUUGGGAUGAUUUGGACGAGAUGACUGAUGAGGACAUGAGCGUUGUCGGAUGAUUUGGACGAGAGGACUGUAGCACGACGCAAUGAAGAGCUAGAUCGUCCGUCCGCUCCCAGCUCACUUCCCAGUUCUGUUGUGCUGCCCCGUGCACCAACCAUCCAGUAAAGGUUCUGAGGUUAACAUCUCUUUUGCGAGUUUCGUAUAACUUUCGUUGUCACUUUAUUAUCUAUUGAUCCACAUGUUUGUAUUUUAGCAGACAUGAGUACUUUAUCAUCUUUCCAGGAAGAAAUUACUAGAGAGAAGAAAACUCAGUUUUACAAGUAGUGACAGUCCAACAUCAUAUUGACACGUCUGGUUUCUCUUUCCACAAGCAGGGUCGAGUGGGGUGAUAUACUAGGCGCUUUCUUCUAAAUUGUACAGAAAGUCCACUGAUUUAUUGUUUUUUGUAUGCCACCUUAGAGCGAAAUAGUACUUCUUUUAAUCAUUUUUAGGUGAAAUACAAGCAUGUAGCUACCUCACUUAAUUAUUGUACUCACUUGAAGUUUAUGUUGAUACAAUGCACUAUUUAAGUAGUAGAGAAACCUCACAAAUUUAAAUUGAUGAAUGAUAUUUAGGAAAAGAAGUAGGCAUGUUUCAUUAUAAAGGGAAAGUCUUUUUCAAGGCAUAGUGUUUAAUUCACGAAUGGUUAAACAGUUUAACGGGGACCAACACUGGGUAGCAGGGGAGUGGCAGUGCAUAGAGAUAUAGUGAGGGGAGCGGGGGCGAUGAUGGAGGCGGAGAUGUUUAGAGAGAGAUAUAGAGAGUGGGAGGUUUACCAUGGUGCAAUCGAAAACCGAGGCACACCUUGCUAAGACAAGCACACUUUAAAACAGAGCAAUACUCUGCAUUGUUUUGAUGUUGGUAUCAGGACCAGGUACCAUGUGAAGCUCAAGGAAUGGUUGUAGAUCAUUAUGGAUAAACUAAAAAAAGAUCAUUAUGGAGUACAUUAUAAACGGCAUUUGGUGUCGGCGGCAUGUCACUACCACUGACAAAGUUCUCUGAAACACGAUUACUAUCAUGUACAAUGCUUUACAAUUUCUCUCAUAUUCAAAUGCUAAAAUUCUGUAAUUUCAUAUUUAGUAGUUUCUGCGGUGUGAAAUUCAUGUUUUAUUUUGCUUGCGCAGUUGAAAAUAAAUGCUAGCAAAGAUAUUAAAAUUCAAAUCUGGCUUAUUUUCUUAAUAUGGGUUCAGAAGGAAAUUGUUGUUGAGCUUCUAUCUAAAGGUAUGUCAGAUUAACAGGUUGCUAUCGCAACUCUUGAUUUGGAGUAAUGCAAAGCAACUGUGGAUCUUGUCAUCGGUACAUCUUGGGUUGCCGUUCUUCCAGAACAAAGGAAUUUUUUCCCUAGAUUGUGCUAUGAAAUAAUGCUUGUAUAACGCCUUGAUCUCCUGGCUACACCAUGCUUUCUUGAGAACACUAUACUUACAGAAGAAUGAUGCUUCUAUAGAAUGUGCCACCAUGAGUUCUCGCAGCUCUUUUAAUUUUGUGUUCACUAUGGACGAAUGAACCAUAUACUUUGUCAAUUUGAUCAGUACUUGCUGAGUGCUUGCUUUCAUGUUGCAAUCUCAGAUUUAGGCACUUCAUAGCCAUAGAAUAAUUUUGAAUUGUUAUGCUCAGUACACCAAAUGUUGUUCCUAGGUAAUGCACUGUUUGCAACUAAGUUUUGUCUUUAAGCACCAAGGUGUAGUAGUAUGCAUUGAAAUAAAUGGAUCAUUUCUAUCUUUCUGGUGCUCAUAAUAGACUUCUUCAUUUUGAAUUUGUAUGCUUGAAAUUUGAUUAUUUCUAUCAACUGAGAGUGGAAAUGAACUGUACCGUAGGCACUUUUUCAUUAGAUUUCAGCAGCGGCUGAUGGCAGCAACCUCAUGGGCCACACAUCCCCUUCUUUAAUUGCAUGCCCUCACAAAAUGGAUGGGGACUUGGUUCUUUGGUUGUCGCCGCCGGACUCAGUGAAGGACGAAAAAUUGAGAUGAUCUAGUGGAGAAUAGAUGCCACGGGCUGAAGAAAGGAGGCGAUGGUUUCAGAGCACACACCUUGAAGCGGAGAGGCGGCAAGGGAGUGCGUCUGGAUGGCAGAGGGAGCAGGACAAGGCAACAUCACAUGGGAGGCAUGGUCAAAAUCGGCGCCGUAGGAGCAAUCGUGUGUGUGGGGGUCGUACCAGGGAGAAGGAAAAGGGUGGUCGGUUUUCUAGGGCUUUUUUCCUUGCAUCGGGAAACGGGUUCGGUUGAAAAAAACGAUGAUGUGGGGAGGUCACGUGAGUGGUGGAUACGUGGGUACCAUUUAAGGUACCAACUGCGCUUUAAUAGUAGAGAUUAAGAUGUUGAUAUUUUAUUCAUUUUCUUCUUAGCUGAACAUUCUUUAAACCAAAAAUCUAUGAAACUUGUAAUGUAUCAUGGUCGCAAUUUGUGAAGUAGAACUAACUAUCCUUUGACCAAAUACCCUUUGACCAUUCAUCAAUUUUUAUGUACUUGUCGCCCGUGACAACAAAUAUGGAUCAAAUAACUAUGCACUAUGGGCACUAAUAUGUUUACCUUUGAAUGGGUUUGUUACUGUGUUUAGUUACUAUGAUGUUUCAUAUGUUCAUCAGAAAAAAUAAAGGCUUAUUUGCUUGCAUGUGCUUUCUCAUGUUUGUUUGUUUUUUCUUCUGGUUGUUCCUUUUCUAUAAUUGUCACAUAAAGUGAACCGAAACUCAUAUUCUAUAUUUCUGCUGUGUAGAUACCCGUGAGCCCGCUGUUGAACUCGCUAAAAAUGGAGAUAGACAUGGAUUUAACGGUUCUCAUUCAUUUAAAUCUUAGUGUAUUGAUACCAGUUUCCAUUUGGAACUGAGAUAACGAGGAAUCGUUUCCUUCAUGAUACUGCAUGUAUGAGCUUUUUUCUUUCGGUGUAGGCCAAUAUUGUACAAAGUUAUUUCCUAAAAUUAUAUUCGAAGGUGUCUUCUAUGAGAGUAACCAUCUCAAUCUUUUUUCUAUAGUUGUCACAAGGUUCUUGUGCUAAAGUGAUUUUUGCUUGGUCAAUAUGUUUUCUUCUGAAUAUUUCAAGAA